This is a non-coding RNA of Leopardus geoffroyi (Geoffroy's cat), 1004 nucleotides long. Lineage: Eukaryota; Metazoa; Chordata; Mammalia; Carnivora; Felidae. The record is from the annotation of a RefSeq genome assembly.
ACCAGUGGUUCUAAGAUGACGUUUGAGAAAGGAGCCCAGCUCACAGUGAAUCUUGCUAUUCAGAACCCUGACCCUGCCGUGUACCAGCUGAAAAGCCCUGAAUCCAGUAACAUCUCUGUCUGCCUGUUCACUGAUUUUGAUUCGGAAGUCAAUGUGAAACCAUCCACAGAGUCCAACAUGAUUAGAUUGGAAAGUACUUCACUGGACAUGAAGACUAUGGAUUCCAAGAGCAACGGGGCCCUGGCCUGGAGCAACAGCUUUGAUUUGGGAUGCAACAGUACCUUCAACUACACCUUCCACUCCAGCUCAGAAUUUCCCUGUGAUGCCAAUGUGGUAGAGAAAGGCUUUGAAACAGAUAUGAACCUAAAUUUCUACAACCUGUUAGUGAUUGUGUUCCGCAUCCUCUUCCUGAAGGUGGUUGGCUUUAACCUGCUCAUGACGCUGCGGCUGUGGUCCAGCUGAGGUCGCGAAGAAUGUGAGAGCCCAGCGCUCCCUGGCUCCUCCCACACCUUCUCCCCCUCUUCAAGAAGAGAGGCACACUCUCUGCCCCCAUGGAGAAGAAGGUUCCCUCCACCUCUCUGGUCCCACUGGCAACGCCACUGACCGAACCCUAGCAGAUAUUUGUGAUCAAGAUGCUGAAGAGCUGCCAAACACCGCUGCCACACCCUCUGUCCCCUCAUCGCUGCUUGUCACUGCCUGACACUCCUGGCUAAGGAGCUGCUGCUGUGGCCUCACCUGGCUGGGGAGAAACUCCCCGACCUUCCCCUGAGACUGCCCAUAUGUCCCCUGGAUGAGGGAUCCCCAGUGGGUCCUCUCGGGCUCUAGCUCCUGGAGAAUGUUGUGAGGAGUUUAUAUAUUUUAAAUUAUGUUCAUAAAGGAAUAACACAUCACACUUGUCCCCAAGAUGUGAGGAAAAUUAUUAUCUAGGCCCUGCUGUGCUGUGUAUCUGAGCUACAUUGUAUAUUCUGCUACCCAUGACUUCAUUAAAGACGAUUGAAAGAGCA